UACGGAGGGUGCAAGCGUUAUCCGGAUUCACUGGGUUUAAAGGGUGCGUAGGCGGGCAUUUAAGUCAGUGGUGAAAUACCUGAGCUUAACUUGGGAACUGCCAUUGAUACUAUUUGUCUUGAAUGUCGUGGAGGUUAGCGGAAUAUGUCAUGUAGCGGUGAAAUGCUUAGAUAUGACAUAGAACACCAAUUGCGAAGGCAGCUUACUACAGGGAUAUUGACACUGAGGUACGAAAGCGUGGGGAUCAAACAGG
RNAcentral lists this ribosomal RNA (253 nucleotides) under uncultured bacterium. Its description in RNAcentral is "partial 16S ribosomal RNA". It matches the Rfam family "Bacterial small subunit ribosomal RNA", at positions 524 to 776 of the family's 1533-position model. The record is from RNAcentral.